GAGCUCAAAAUUUCACAGUUGGUCUGGAGAGAUUUGUCUCUAUCCGCGGAGACCCAGACUUCUGCAAGAGGAGAGUAGGAGAUGGACUGUCUGUGAGUGUUUUCCGUGCUUCGACAGGACUCUAAAGCUGUAUCCUCGCUCAGCACAUCUCCAUCACGAUGAACUACUGGAGACAGGACAGGGGGAGAGUGAGAUAGAUAUAGGGAGGUAGAGGGAGAAAGAUAGGGUGGCUAGAAAAAGCUCUUUAUUUACCCUCUCAAAAUGUCAUUAAAAGCAAAAAAAAAUGUGUCUGUUCCUUGAAGGGGAGCUUUGCUGCUUCCUAAUUGCCCACUGUACCUGCAAAAUGUCCUGUCAGCCAGAUGUGUUGUCCAGAGCCAUUCUCAUUUCUUGGCCCUCUCUCUUUUUUUCAUUUUUUUCAAUACGUGGUCACAAAUGACAGGAAGGUCACAAAAUAUAUCUUUCUAUCUACUUAGCUGGGAAACUGUGAGCCACUCCUUAACAGACCUUUGGAAGAGUCACUGGGCAACUCAAUUAUAAGCAUUGGUGAAAAUGCCACAGCACUGGUGUCUUUGCAUUAAAUUGAUUUGUUCAGACAAUGCCAUGUAUCAUCCAUGAUGGAGAAAUGUGUUGAGGAUGAGCUGACUCAAUAGAAUGCCUCUUUGAUGAACAAUCACUUUGUUUUUGUGAGUGACACAUUCCAAAGGAAUACAAAAUACAUUUUGUGCACAAAUUUGUUUGCAUUUCUCUUUUAUCAAAAUAAACCAUCCACCUGA
This is a long non-coding RNA of Oncorhynchus nerka (sockeye salmon), 773 nucleotides long. RefSeq lists it as uncharacterized. The transcript has 2 exons. The record is from RefSeq and is a predicted model, not a curated record. Lineage: Eukaryota; Metazoa; Chordata; Actinopteri; Salmoniformes; Salmonidae.